RNAcentral lists this ribosomal RNA (222 nucleotides) under uncultured bacterium. RNAcentral's name for it is "partial 16S ribosomal RNA". It matches the Rfam family "Bacterial small subunit ribosomal RNA", at positions 524 to 745 of the family's 1533-position model. The record is from RNAcentral.
UACGUAGGGUGCAAGCGUUGUCCGGAAUUAUUGGGCGUAAAGAGCUCGUAGGCGGUCUGUCGCGUCUGCUGUGAAAACUCAGGGCUUAACCCUGAGCUUGCAGUGGGUACGGGCAGACUAGAGUGCGGUAGGGGAGACUGGAAUUCCUGGUGUAGCGGUGAAAUGCGCAGAUAUCAGGAGGAACACCGGUGGCGAAGGCGGGUCUCUGGGCCGUAACUGACG